This 22-nucleotide non-coding RNA is filed under the name Rattus norvegicus (Norway rat). Lineage: Eukaryota; Metazoa; Chordata; Mammalia; Rodentia; Muridae. The record is from RNAcentral.
CAUUUUUAACCGAGUCUGCCUC